GUCAGAUGUCUGCUGAGAAGAGAUUAUCUUUUCGCCAGGCUUUGUGUGUUUAACUCCUACCCCACCCUAAGAUGGGCAGGGUCCCUACUACAUGUCUAGCACUAGGUGCUGGAGAUAAAAUUAAGACCAACCACAAUUCCCCAUAGAUGCCUAUAGGACACCGUGGGAAUAAGUAAGAGAGGCAGAGAGUGGUCAUCAAUAUUGGAAGCACUGGGGAAGACUGCAGGGAGAUCCCAGGAAUCUGAAGGCCCUAUGACAGUCAUGGCGCAGAGCCCAUCGAUAACCUCAGAAAGAAAGAGGACAUCAGAGUGAACACUGUGGACCAGUGCACUAGUUGUUUUAUUGAAAUGCUGUGGUGGAAAAGAAGCUGAAAACUGGACUGAUGCACUAAGUCACUGUAAGAAUUAACUGCUCGGCUGGAGAGAUGGCUUAGCGGUUAAGCGAUUGCCUGUGAAGCCUAAGGACCCUGGUUAGAGGCUUGAUUCCCCAGGACCCAUGUAAGCCAGAUGC
Jaculus jaculus (lesser Egyptian jerboa) is the source of this 510-nucleotide long non-coding RNA. RefSeq lists it as uncharacterized. The record is from RefSeq and is a predicted model, not a curated record. The transcript is spliced from 4 exons. Lineage: Eukaryota; Metazoa; Chordata; Mammalia; Rodentia; Dipodidae.